This is a long non-coding RNA of Dalotia coriaria, 536 nucleotides long. RefSeq lists it as uncharacterized. NCBI's taxonomy places the organism in Eukaryota, Metazoa, Arthropoda, Insecta, Coleoptera, Staphylinidae. The transcript has 3 exons. The record is from RefSeq and is a predicted model, not a curated record.
GGUAGAAUCAAUCCGAGAUAGAAUUAAAUUUUGAAAAGAUAUAAAACUAUAGUAAAUUCCGUCCGUUUAUAUCCGAUCGUGAAUUUUCCACGCGAAAUGCCCCGCCGCAGUGGAAAUUCAGGCGGAAAAGUGGAGGAAAUUUAUACAAUUUCCCGCUCGUCGCCCGUUUACGCCAAAAUCUACGAUCCACCCCGAAUCUACAUACGACCGAAUUAGGAAUGAUUGUAGGUUGUCCUUGGUCUUAAUGGGGCAUCUUUCGAUUUUCUAGUGCAAGACUAUCCACUUAUACAACCAUAGAUGACGCGGAGUUUGGAUUCCACUUUCGAGGAAAUUGAGUAGGAAUAGUCGCAUAGGCUACGUGACGUCAUUGAGCUUCUCAGCGAGAAACGUGGAAGUUGCACAUCUUCUCGAGGGAGUUAACCAGUGGACCAUACGCAAAGGAUUCAGGACCAGUUUUACGUUUUGGGCAUCACAUCAUUCACAGAUGUUUAAAAUUAGCUUUAGAAUAAUACAGUGUGUUUUUGGGUCAUGCCCAA